CCUACGGGAGGCUGCAGUGGGGAAUAUUGCACAAUGGGGGAAACCCUGAUGCAGCGAAGUCGCGUGAGCGAAGAAGUAUUUCGGUAUGUAAAGCUCCAUCUGUAGGGAAGAAAAUGACGGUACGUGAGUAUGUAUCUCCGGCCAAAUACGUGCCAGCAGCCGCGGUAAUACGGAGGGAGCAAGCGUUAUCCGGAUUUACUGGGCGUAAGGGGAGCGUAGGGGGUCUUGCAAGUCUGAUGUGAAAUACUGGGGCUCAACCCCGGAGCUGCAUUUGAAACUGGGAGGCUGGAGUGUCGGAGAGGCAGGCGGAAUUCCUAGUGUAGCGGUGAAAUGCUUAGAUAUUAGGAGGAACACCGGUGGCGAAGGCGGCCUGCUGGACGAUGACUGACGCUGAGGCUCGAAAGCGUGGGGAGCAAACAGGAUUAGAUACCCGUGUAGUC
RNAcentral lists this ribosomal RNA (440 nucleotides) under uncultured bacterium. Its description in RNAcentral is "partial 16S ribosomal RNA". It matches the Rfam family "Bacterial small subunit ribosomal RNA", at positions 338 to 795 of the family's 1533-position model. The record is from RNAcentral.